Danio rerio (zebrafish) is the source of this 116-nucleotide ribosomal RNA. The record is from Ensembl. NCBI's taxonomy places the organism in Eukaryota, Metazoa, Chordata, Actinopteri, Cypriniformes, Danionidae.
UGCCACAGCCAUAUCACCCUGCAGCCCAAGACCGGUUACACACUGAAGCUAAGCAGGGCUGAGCUGGUCAGUACCUGGAGGGGAGACCACCAGGGAACACUAGGUUGCUGUUGGAA